GUCCCUGUAGCGCAAUGAAUAGCGAAUUGGACUUCUAAUCCAAAGGUCAUGGGUUUGAAUCCCACUUGGGAUG
This 73-nucleotide transfer RNA is filed under the name Trichonephila clavata. It matches the Rfam family "tRNA". From Rfam's summary of the family: Transfer RNA (tRNA) molecules are approximately 80 nucleotides in length. Their secondary structure includes four short double-helical elements and three loops (D, anti-codon, and T loops). The record is from Rfam by way of RNAcentral. Lineage: Eukaryota; Metazoa; Arthropoda; Arachnida; Araneae; Nephilidae.